AGGGUGUGGGGCUUCCCUUUAGAGUGCUUGAGUGCACUCAAGUGUAAUUACAUUUUACAUGUAUCAUCUAGACCGUUGAUUUUUCACCUUUCAUUUGCUUUCCGUCUGCAAUGUUGAUUCAAUUCAUCCAUUCCAUUACAUAAAGGUUAUUUUAUCCUUUCAAUUUUGUUUCAUUCCUUCUCAUAACUAAACUUUGUAUUUUUUUCAAACCCUUUCUUCUUA
RNAcentral lists this long non-coding RNA (222 nucleotides) under Lathyrus oleraceus (garden pea). Its description in RNAcentral is "Pisum sativum (pea) long non-coding RNA (PSAT_LNC003905)". The record is from RNAcentral. Lineage: Eukaryota; Viridiplantae; Streptophyta; Magnoliopsida; Fabales; Fabaceae.